RNAcentral lists this ribosomal RNA (467 nucleotides) under uncultured bacterium. RNAcentral describes it as "partial 16S ribosomal RNA". It matches the Rfam family "Bacterial small subunit ribosomal RNA", at positions 28 to 506 of the family's 1533-position model. The record is from RNAcentral.
GACGAACGCUGGCGGCGUGCUUAACACAUGCAAGUCGAACGGAAAGGCCCUGCUUUUGUGGGGUGCUCGAGUGGCGAACGGGUGAGUAACACGUGAGUAACCUGCCCUUGACUUUGGGAUAACUUCAGGAAACUGGGGCUAAUACCGGAUAGGAGCUCCUGCUGCAUGGUGGGGGUUGGAAAGUUUCGGCGGUUGGGGAUGGACUCGCGGCUUAUCAGCUUGUUGGUGGGGUAGUGGCUUACCAAGGCUUUGACGGGUAGCCGGCCUGAGAGGGUGACCGGCAAAAUGGGGAAUGGGUAACGGCCCAAACCCCAGCGGGGGGGAGGGGGGGGGAAUUUUGCAAAAAGGGGGGAGGCCGGAUGCAGGAACGCCGGGGGGGGGAGAGCGGCCUUGGGGUGUUAAACCCCUUCCGCCUGUGGAGAAGCGUGGGGGGGGGAAAUGGGAAAAGAAGCACCGGCAAAUUAGGU